Molecule: non-coding RNA, 85 nt
Organism: Candidatus Woesebacteria bacterium
Lineage: Bacteria; Candidatus Woeseibacteriota
Source: Rfam
GUCGAAGUGCUGAAACUGGCAGACAGGCAGGUUUCAGAAACCUGUGCUCAUAAAGAGCGUGUGGGUUCGAAUCCCACCUUCGACA